Molecule: ribosomal RNA, 460 nt
Filed under: uncultured bacterium
Lineage: Bacteria
Description: partial 16S ribosomal RNA
Rfam family: Bacterial small subunit ribosomal RNA
Source: RNAcentral
CCUACGGGAGGCAGCAGUGAGGAAUAUUGGUCAAUGGACGAGAGUCUGAACCAGCCAAGUAGCGUGAAGGAUGACUGCCCUAUGGGUUGUAAACUUCUUUUAUAUGGGAAUAAAAUGUUCCACGUGUGGGAUUUUGUAUGUACCAUAUGAAUAAGGAUCGGCUAACUCCGUGCCAGCAGCCGCGGUAAUACGGAGGGUCCGAGCGUUAUCCGGAUUUAUUGGGUUUAAAGGGAGCGUAGUUGGACUGUUAAGUCAGUUGUGAAAGUUUGCGGCUCAACCGUAAAAUUGCAGUUGAAACUGGCAGUCUUGAGUACAGUAGAGGUGGGCGGAAUUCGUGGUGUAGCGGUGAAAUGCUUAGAUAUAACGAAGAACUCCGAUUGCGAAGGCAGCUCACUGGACUGCAACUGACACUGAGGCUCGAAAGUGUGGGUAGCAAACAGGAUUAGAGACCCCUGUAGUC